GGUUAAGCGACUAAGCGUACACGGUGGAUGCCCUGGCAGUCAGAGGCGAUGAAGGGCGUGCUAAUCUGCGAUAAGCGCCGGUAAGGUGAUAUGAACCGUUAUAACCGGCGAUACCCGAAUGGGGAAACCCAGUGUGACUCGUCACACUAUCAUUACGUGAAUACAUAGCGUAAUGAAGCGAACCGGGGGAACUGAAACAUCUAAGUACCCCGAGGAAAAGAAAUCAACCGAGAUUCCCCCAGUAGCGGCGAGCGAACGGGGAGGAGCCCAGAGCCUGAAUCAGCAUGUGUGUUAGUGGAAGCGUCUGGAAAGGCGCGCGAUACAGGGUGACAGCCCCGUACACAAAAGCGCAUGUGCUGUGAGCUCGAUGAGUAGGGCGGGACACGUGGUAUCCUGUCUGAAUAUGGGGGGACCAUCCUCCAAGGCUAAAUACUCCUGACUGACCGAUAGUGAACCAGUACCGUGAGGGAAAGGCGAAAAGAACCCCGGCGAGGGGAGUGAAAAAGAACCUGAAACCGUGUACGUACAAGCAGUGGGAGCACAGGUUUACCUGUGUGACUGCGUACCUUUUGUAUAAUGGGUCAGCGACUUAUAUUCUGUAGCAAGGUUAACCGAAU
RNAcentral lists this ribosomal RNA (617 nucleotides) under Salmonella enterica subsp. enterica serovar Anecho. RNAcentral's name for it is "partial 23S ribosomal RNA". It matches the Rfam family "Bacterial large subunit ribosomal RNA", at positions 1 to 655 of the family's 2925-position model. The record is from RNAcentral. Lineage: Bacteria; Pseudomonadati; Pseudomonadota; Gammaproteobacteria; Enterobacterales; Enterobacteriaceae.